This 254-nucleotide ribosomal RNA is filed under the name uncultured bacterium. RNAcentral describes it as "partial 16S ribosomal RNA". It matches the Rfam family "Bacterial small subunit ribosomal RNA", at positions 524 to 776 of the family's 1533-position model. The record is from RNAcentral.
UACGGAGGGUGCGAGCGUUGUCCGGAAUCACUGGGCGUAAAGGGCGCGUAGGCGGCCACGACAAGUCACUUGUGAAAUCUCCGGGCUUAACUCGGAACGGUCAAGUGAUACUGUCGGGCUAGAGUACAGAAGGGGCAACUGGAAUUCUCGGUGUAGCGGUGAAAUGCGUAGAUAUCGAGAGGAACACCUGCGGCGAAGGCGGGUUGCUGGGCUGAUACUGACGCUGAUGCGCGAAAGCCAGGGGAGCGAACGGG